GCUCUAGCCACCAACUCCCGCCGGGUGAAGCAAGAAGUCGGAAGAACGCUGAUCCGAGAGCGCGUGCGCGAGAAUAGCGGCCGGAGAAGCCACAUGAUUAAGGGGAGGGAUCUACGCAUGCGUGAGUCAUGUCUGCGUCACAUUCACCGUUGAUUCAGUUUCCCGGCUGGAGCCAGUGGGCAGUCCCCUGGAGAACACUGCCUUCUCAGAGUUGGUACCUUGACCCAAGACUUAAAGCAAAGGAAGGCUUAAGACAAGAUGUCCUUCUGAGUCCCACCUUGAGGCAAGCUGCGGUGACGAGGCCCAGGUCUCCAAACUCGCGGUCGUCCCUUCCCCCACCUCUUCGUCCCAGGCCUUCCUCCUUCCCUCCCUCAUCCGACUGCAAACUCAGCGCCGACGAAAUUAGGAAGGAAAAGGAAGAUCGAUGACUCCAGAUGCCGCAAACACCGUUUGCCCUCCCCCCACCUGCUGCCUCCCACCAGCCUCACGGAGCUUAGCAGGUUGUCAGCGCUCUGCUUAUGCUGUUUCUGCAUCUCCUUGAAUGGGAUUUCAAGGCCUUACACCUCCUCCCCUAAAUUGUCCCAAAUGGUCCGCUGGCAGUCCCCUCUCAGGUUUAAUCCUCAUCCUCAUCCUCAUCCUAUCUCCUGCAAUUUAAUUUCGCCCACCUCUGAGAGGUACAUCCCCGCCUCAGGCAGAGCUCCUACCCCAAGGGUCGCCCUCAUCUCUGUCUGAUCUGGUCUUGGAUGACCUCCAAGGUGCUAGCUCAGUCAAUAUUUGCCACAG
Pteropus alecto (black flying fox) is the source of this 783-nucleotide long non-coding RNA. RefSeq lists it as uncharacterized. The record is from RefSeq and is a predicted model, not a curated record. The transcript is spliced from 3 exons. Lineage: Eukaryota; Metazoa; Chordata; Mammalia; Chiroptera; Pteropodidae.